UCCAAGACGUGUCCCACCAAACUCAGUUGUCCUCAACCGGGGACAGAAUGUUAAGCAAACUGUGUGGUGUGACUUUGAGAAGUUCUUCACACCGGAUUUGGCAACCCAACUGAACUGGUGCGAGAGGGGGCAGAAGACUUUCAUCCGGUCAAUGCCACUGAAGGAUGCUAUUAUGUACUGUCUCCCCUGCCUACUGAAGUAAUGCGUUGUCAUGUCCUGGCUAUGCCCCUAGCCAUCUCUGCACUGGGCUGGGGCCUGUACUGGGCUGGAGCCACCUUCCAUCACAACAGGACAGGAAGUUGUGCCUUUAGCCACCUCUAAUCCUUUUGGUCUCCUCAAUUGGAGGCAGGAGUAGAUCGUUUCCUCCAAUUGGGGACCCUAUUUAUGU
Esox lucius (northern pike) is the source of this 388-nucleotide long non-coding RNA. RefSeq lists it as uncharacterized. The transcript is spliced from 3 exons. NCBI's taxonomy places the organism in Eukaryota, Metazoa, Chordata, Actinopteri, Esociformes, Esocidae. The record is from RefSeq and is a predicted model, not a curated record.